This is a long non-coding RNA of Papaver somniferum (opium poppy), 802 nucleotides long. RefSeq lists it as uncharacterized. The transcript has 4 exons. The record is from RefSeq and is a predicted model, not a curated record. Lineage: Eukaryota; Viridiplantae; Streptophyta; Magnoliopsida; Ranunculales; Papaveraceae.
GGUUCCAACUUCAACUCCUCUCCUCCUCCUCUUUUCUCUUACUGUGAAGAACUCCAAUUCCACCAUGGGAAGAUUUAAUCCACCAAACUCGAAAAUAUGUAUCUCAAACUUUGGUUUUAACCCCUUUUUAUCAAAUUUUCAUCUUAGCCGCCCCUUUUUUUCAAAUUUGAUUUUAGUUACAAAUGUUGAUUUUGGAAGGAAAUUAAAACAAAGAAAGCUUUCCCGGCCAUAUCAAUGAAGAAUUUCCAGGUGUGUUGUUGUUUUCCUAUGCUAAUUGUGCUAUGGAUAGCUUACAUUGUUUUAUUUUAUUCGAUGGUGGAGUCUCCUUCAGUUCCUUCUCAGCCAUAUGGGGAAUUUUCAUGGAUGGAGAAACAAAUUUAGUAGGAAUUCAUGGAACACAGUCAAGCUCUAGAGGAUUUUAUACGGCUAUUGGUAGUUCAUCUGAUGCUUUAGAACUAGAAAGAAACAUGAAAACUGGACUAAAUUCUGAGGUCGAAGUCCUGGUGGUCUAAAUUUCAAGGAAGCUUAAAACUGCCUCAAUUGCAGCAAGAAAAUAAGUUGACGAUUUUGAAACCAGAUAAGAUUAAGAAUUUAUGGUCUAAUAUGUAAUAUGCUCCCAGAAGCUAUGAUGAUUAGGUGAUAAUGAUGAAAGAACGAGGGGUUCCAAAGGAGUUUCACAAGCUUACGAUUGCAUGGGGUUUAAUGGAUCAUGAGAACAAUGUGAGUUUCAUUUGGAUGUUGGAGACGUUGAGGUCCAUUUAUAACGGUGAUAAUUUUCCAAGGGUUAUUGUAAUGGAUAACG